RNAcentral lists this ribosomal RNA (253 nucleotides) under uncultured bacterium. RNAcentral's name for it is "partial 16S ribosomal RNA". It matches the Rfam family "Bacterial small subunit ribosomal RNA", at positions 524 to 776 of the family's 1533-position model. The record is from RNAcentral.
UACGUAGGGGGCAAGCGUUGUCCGGAUUUAUUGGGCGUAAAGAGCGUGUAGGCGGCCAUACAGGUCUGUUGUGAAAACUCGAGGCUCAACCUCGAGACGCCGAUGGAAACCGUAUGGCUAGAGUCCGGAAGAGGAGAGUGGAAUUCCUGGUGUAGCGGUGAAAUGCGCAGAUAUCAGGAAGAACACCCGUGGCUAAGGCGGCUCUCUAGUACGGUACUGACGCUGAGACGCGAAAGCGUGGGGAGCGAACAGG